CAAUAGGAAAGAUUAAUCCAACCCAGGUUGGUGCAAACCCGAUCGGGCCGAAAACGCUAUUAAUUUUGGAGAAACGUGCUGGUAAAUGGUGA
Long non-coding RNA from Mycetomoellerius zeteki, 92 nucleotides. RefSeq lists it as uncharacterized. The transcript is spliced from 3 exons. NCBI's taxonomy places the organism in Eukaryota, Metazoa, Arthropoda, Insecta, Hymenoptera, Formicidae. The record is from RefSeq and is a predicted model, not a curated record.